GAGCCGGGAUUCAGCUCUUGUCACAAAAGCCCCUGGGAACUCUGAAGGGAGAGGAAUGAGAUUUUCCCCGAGAUCCUUCGGGCCCAGACAUUCCCUCACACUGCACGUGGAGCCGUCCCCCACUGGGAAGGCGCCCUGCCUGAGAAGGCAAGCAGCUCCCGGAGAGGCCUAGCGGAGGAGGAAGACAGGCCUGGUGGCAGAGACAGAGCAGAGGAGCAAAGGUCUGGAGGCGGGGUGGUGCCUGGCGGGCUGGACCAACAGCGAUGACGACCCCCUCCCGCGGUGACACGGUGCCAAGUGACACACAGCCGGUGACAUGGCUGCUCUGACCGCGAUCUCUAGACCUGAGGGUGUCUUGGAAAAGCAGAACCUCGGGCCCCACCCCAGAUCUAUGGAGUCAGAGUUUGCUUUUCCACAAGAGACCCACGUGUUCCGGAUGAUCAUGGACGAUGCACGGGCCUCAGUCUAGAAACAUCCAGAGAGACGUCAUUCUCCUCCUGGAGGGAAGGCUGGACUGAAGGGCUGCUCUUCUCUGGUUCAGACACGUCUGGCCGCUUUCUUGGUGGUGGAAGAACAAAGAAGGAAAGAGAAGGCCACCCCCGGGGCACGCGUGCAUACGUGUGCGCGCACACGCUGCUCGUGUCACUGGCCGUUCCGGUGCUCGCCAAGGGCCUCUGCUUCCUCACGGAGGCAUUUCCUACCGAGAUGGGUCACAGAGCACGCAGUCCUCUCACUGGGCUCUGCGGGUCCUGGGGUCAUCCCAGCCUGGAUGUCAGAGGUGACCUUGUGACACUUGAGCCACAGUCGGCAGGAAAAGCGACAGCACGACAGCCUUAUCGUUGUCCAUGGCGGGGAGAAGAACCCGUCGGGGCCUGUCCUCUCGGACGGGAGCGGCGCCCCGCGGCUGUCAGGGCCUCGUUCUGAUGCUUGGCUCACCCAGCGGGCCCCUCGUCCUAAACCACCUUUUUUACCAGCUCAGAGUCAGGCCUUUUCUGGCAGCCAUCUGUAUAAACAAAGUAUUUUGGGGUCUAGAAGAGUGGUUUCUUCUCUGGGCAAGACUUUUUGACUUAAUUGUCCCCUCACCUGUGACUCCUAUGCUUAAAAAGAUCAAGACUGAGCAAAAGAAACAUAUUAUUUUAGUCCACAUCUCUUAAGAAAACAAAAACACAUUCAAAUUCCACUCCUCGGGCUGUGUUGGCCUCGAGCCUGGCCCUAAAAGGCUGAGGGGACAGACGAUUAUUCCCGGCCUCCAACGACGCUCUCCUGACCUCUGGCCUCUAGCCCCCAGCCUCGACCUUUCCCAUUUCUCUGCAUUCUGUCUCCCCACAUCGCCUGGACCCAUCUGUGAGCCUCCACCUGUCCACACAGGAAGAAAAACGGAGUUUGCAGUAUAAAUAUUUAGCUUGAAGAUCUUGGAGAGUGUUUUGGGGGAGGCUCCUGGGUUCCAGCACAGCUGACCCCACAACUUCUCCAACGGCCCCGCCUGCCCUCCACACACGCCUCCCUCAGCCCCACUAACCAAGGCAACUGGCAGCACCUGGGGGGAAUGCUGGGGGAGGGGUGCUUGAGCCUGGCGCCCCCACAAUGUCCAUCACCCUUCCCAAAGCCACCCUGAUGAACAUACAAUCUAGGUCAAGGCAGCUCAACCUCUGGCCUCCAGCUCCUCGUACAGAUAAUCCGGGCCCGCCAUGGAAAGAUCUGACUUCGUUCACAGCAGAAGCUGACAUCCGGGGCUUUGAGCCAGACCUGAGUUUGAAAUCUGCCACUUCCUAGCAGGGUGACGGUCUGCUGAGAAAUCUCCGCUUCGGCCUUCAGGUUGAAUUCCGAUUUCUCCAUGUGUCAUGACUAAUGGCAGAAACCAAGAAGUUCAGUGGAAAUACACAGUUCCUCUUAAAAUCUGUGCUCAGGACUGGCCCACCCGCCAUCACUUCUUCACCUCCCACUGGUUAGAGCACAUCACAUGCCUGAGUCCAGCAUCACUGGUGAGGGAGAGAUCCUCUGCCCACCGUGGAAGGCCCUGCGGGCAUGUGGUAAAGGCUGUGGAUGUCUAAUUCCAAUACAGGGAAAGGAUGGACUUCCUUACUUUGGCAGCCAUGACGUGCACCUGUCAGGUCUCCAGGGUGGGGCCUAACGGACAGAUAGACCAUGGACUCAUCCUAACAGUCGAGCCAAGACCACACUUCUGCUUCUCCUGGUUCAACAGUGAGCAAGGCAGGGAGGAAGGCCCAGUCCGAGGAGACCCAGGGCUCCUCCGGCAGCACAAGGACUCUUUGUCGCAUUAUGGAAUUUUCCCAGUAUGGCCCUGCAGUCAACAACCGCCCAAUCUUCCUUCCCCCUCCCUCCCGGCCUCCUCUGGCUCCCUCCUCACUACUCCUCCCGCCAACCCUGGCAUUCUCCCCCCAAAAAAUCUCCUGGAUAGUUCAUCCCUUCUUGACUAUCUCAGAGGACCUGGACUAACACCACUUCCCAUAAUAGAUUUGGGUAAACUAAGAGAAAGAGAGAGGUCUUCCAGGCAGGUAAACAAUUUGAAUAAAGGUGUGGAGGUAGCAAAGCCCAGGGUGUGCUCACAUCACAUGGGGAAAUUAGCCUGUCCUAAGAGGACAUCAAAUCCCCAUGCUAUAGCCUAGCAAAAGAAGUGCUGUGUGACCUUGGGUAAUUCACUGAGUCUCUCUGGGCCUUGGUUUCACCAUUUGCAAACUGGGAACACAAAUAGUACCCACUUUACAGGCUCUUGAGGGGGAUUAGACAAGUUAAUACAAAAAAAAAUUUUUUUUAAGAUUUUAUUCAUCCAUUUGACAGAGA
This is a long non-coding RNA of Mustela lutreola (European mink), 2802 nucleotides long. RefSeq lists it as uncharacterized. Lineage: Eukaryota; Metazoa; Chordata; Mammalia; Carnivora; Mustelidae. The transcript is spliced from 3 exons. The record is from RefSeq and is a predicted model, not a curated record.